AUUAUAUAUAAAUAUUUUUAAAUCUUUGGGGGGUGGUGUUAUUUCUGUUAACUGCAUCCUGAAGAUAGAGCUGUGCUCAUCCAUUAGAUUAUACACAAAUGCCUUUAACUUCAGUUGCUCAGUGACCGGCUGGAUACAUUUUUAAUGGUAAAAUGUCAUCUAGUCAGAAUGUUAAGAUCCCAACUACGUUUGUAUGAUAUGAUGCUGGUCAGAUCACAGAAAGUUUGCCUUUUAACUUGCCUUAUUGAAAGUCAAAAUAACAUCAGUUUUACAUCAGUGGACAAUGGUAAGAUUUAACAAUGCCCUUCUGUUUGUCACACAAAUCUGAAAUAUAUUUAUACAAAAUUCUAAAUAUAUACAGUGUAUAUUUUGCUCAUCAAAGAGGAUGAGUCUAAAAUAUUAUAUUUCUUAGAGAUGUGUGUGUGUGUGUAUAUAUAUAUAUAUAUAUGUAUAUAUAUGUGUGUGAGUGUGUAUAUAUAUAUGUAUAUAUAUAAACAUGUGUGUAUAUAAAUUUGUUAUGCCAAAGCCAGCUUUAAUUCAAUGUUAC
This is a non-coding RNA of Pelobates cultripes (western spadefoot toad), 547 nucleotides long. The record is from the annotation of a GenBank genome assembly. NCBI's taxonomy places the organism in Eukaryota, Metazoa, Chordata, Amphibia, Anura, Pelobatidae.